Molecule: ribosomal RNA, 254 nt
Filed under: uncultured bacterium
Lineage: Bacteria
Description: partial 16S ribosomal RNA
Rfam family: Bacterial small subunit ribosomal RNA
Source: RNAcentral
CACGUAGGGGGCGAGCGUUGUCCGGAUUUAUUGGGCGUAAAGAGCUCGUAGGCGGCUCAGUAAGUCAGGUGUAAAAACUCCAGGCUCAACCUGGAGACGCCAUCUGAUACUGCUGUGGCUAGAGUCCGGUAGGGGAGCAUGGAAUUCCUGGUGUAGCGGUGAAAUGCGCAGAUAUCAGGAGGAACACCAGUGGCGAAGGCGGUGCUCUGGGCCGGAACUGACGCUGAGGAGCGAAAGCGUGGGGAGCAAGCAGG